RNAcentral lists this transfer RNA (75 nucleotides) under Candidatus Terraquivivens tikiterensis. RNAcentral's name for it is "Aigarchaeota archaeon NZ13_MG1 tRNA-Met". It matches the Rfam family "tRNA". Rfam says of the family: Transfer RNA (tRNA) molecules are approximately 80 nucleotides in length. Their secondary structure includes four short double-helical elements and three loops (D, anti-codon, and T loops). RNAcentral also lists the same sequence under 2 other names. The record is from RNAcentral. Lineage: Archaea; Thermoproteati; Nitrososphaerota; Candidatus Wolframiiraptoraceae.
GGGCCCGUAGCUCAGCAUGGUUAGAGCGGCAGGCUCAUAACCUGUAGGUCCUGGGUUCGAGUCCCAGCGGGCCCA